GUGAGGAAUAUUGCGCAAUGGAGGCAACUCUGACGCAGCCAUGCCGCGUGCAGGAAGAAGGCGCUACGCGUUGUAAACUGCUUUUAACCGGGAAGAAACCCCAGGACGUGUCCUGGGUUGACGGUACCGGAGGAAUAAGCACCGGCUAACUUCGUGCCAGCAGCCGCGGUAAUACGAAGGGUGCAAGCGUUAUCCGGAUUCAUUGGGUUUAAAGGGUGCGUAGGCGGAGCGUUAAGUCAGUGGUGAAAUCCUGCAGCUUAACUGUAGACUUGCCAUUGAUACUGGCGCUCUUGAGUGCGCUUGAAGUGGGCGGAAUGUGCCGUGUAGCGGUGAAAUGCUUAGAUAUGGCACAGAACACCAAUUGCGAAGGCAGCUCACUAAGGCGAUACUGACGCUGAGACACGAAAGCGUGGGGAUCGAACAGGAUUAGAUACCUAGUAGUCC
This 444-nucleotide ribosomal RNA is filed under the name uncultured bacterium. Its description in RNAcentral is "partial 16S ribosomal RNA". It matches the Rfam family "Bacterial small subunit ribosomal RNA", at positions 354 to 796 of the family's 1533-position model. The record is from RNAcentral.